GGUUGUCCCCUGUUGAGCGAAAGAUGUGCAGAUAAAGAGGGUCAGGAUUGGCGUCUUAUUUCUCACAUCCCAAAUGUUGAAGUUGAUGGCAAGAGAAUUCAAUGGGAGGGCUGCUAUCUACUAGAGGACGAAGAAAAAUCUUCUACCACAUCUGAAAAUUGAAAUGAUAAGUUAUGAAGAUUAAUUGCUGCCUCCUUCUUGAAAAACGUGUAUGAAGUUCUGGAGGGGAACUUCUAACUCAUUGACUCUAUCGGCAGUGGACAGCAGUAAAAACACAAGAAAUACAAUUAAGUUGCAGAAGGAAUGCUGGUUAUAGAACAAGACAAGAUAUGAGAAACUCCGGAACUGCAAUUACAACCUCGCCGCUAUUCCAAAUGUGUUAGAAGCGGAAAAUAUUUAGUGAAUCUCUGUGGAAGUGUUCUGGUUGCAACUUUGGUUUCUGCGAUACGCAUUGGCAGGAGGUUCUGUGGUUAACUUUCUUCCCUCACAAUUCUUCAGCAGUUAACCAUUUUGGGAAUGGAGUCUU
Molecule: long non-coding RNA, 526 nt
Organism: Hevea brasiliensis (rubber tree)
Lineage: Eukaryota; Viridiplantae; Streptophyta; Magnoliopsida; Malpighiales; Euphorbiaceae
Exons: 4
Source: RefSeq, a predicted model, not a curated record